Molecule: ribosomal RNA, 379 nt
Filed under: uncultured bacterium
Lineage: Bacteria
Description: bacterial SSU rRNA
Rfam family: Bacterial small subunit ribosomal RNA
Source: RNAcentral
AGCGAACGCUGGCGGCGUGCCUAACACAUGCAAGUCGAACGUGAACGGCUUCGGCCUAGUAAAGUGGCGUACGGGUGAGUAACGCGUAGGUAAUCUACCCCAGAGUCUGGAAUAACCGGCCGAAAGGCUGGCUAAUACUGGAUAGAGCGACGGAAUCCGUAAUUGGAUUUUUCGGGUAAAGGGAGGCCGCAAGGUCCCUUGCUCUGGGAUGAGCCUGCGUCUCAUUAGCUAGUUGGUAAGGAACGGCUUACCAAGGCUUUGAUGGGUAGCUGGUCUGAGAGGAUGAUCAGCCACACUGGAACUGAAACACGGUCCAGACUCCUACGGGAGGCAGCAGUGGGGAAUCUUGCGCAAUGGACGAAAGUCUGACGCAGCCACG